CACAUGCAAGUCGAACGGCAGCACGGGAGCUUGCUCCUGGUGGCGAGUGGCGAACGGGUGAGUAAUAUAUCGGAACGUAUCCAAUAAUGGGGGAUAACUAAUCGAAAGGUUGGCUAAUACCGCAUACGCCCUGAGGGGGAAAGCUGGGGAUCUUCGGACCUAGCGUUAAUGGAGCGGCCGAUAUCGGAUUAGCUAGUUGGUGAGGUAAAGGCUCACCAAGGCGACGAUCCGUAGCUGGUCUGAGAGGACGACCAGCCACACUGGAACUGAGACACGGUCCAGACUCCUACGGGAGGCAGCAGUGGGGAAUUUUGGACAAUGGGCGCAAGCCUGAUCCAGCCAUUCCGCGUGAGUGAAGAAGGCCUUCGGGUUGUAAAGCUCUUUCGCAAGGGAAGAAACGAUUUAGGUGAAUAAUCUAAGUUAAUGACGGUACCUUGAUAAGAAGCACCGGCUAACUACGUGCCAGCAGCCGCGGUAAUACGUAGGGUGCGAGCGUUAAUCGGAAUUACUGGGCGUAAAGCGUGCGCAGGCUGUUUUGUAAGUCAGAUGUGAAAUCCCCGAGCUCAACUUGGGAACUGCGUUUGAAACUACAAGACUAGAAUAUGUCAGAGGGGGGUAGAAUUCCACGUGUAGCAGUGAAAUGCGUAGAGAUGUGGAGGAAUAUCAAUGGCGAAGGCAGCCCCCUGGGAUAAUAUUGACGCUCAUGCACGAAAGCGUGGGGAGCAAACAGGAUUAGAUACCCUGGUAGUCCACGCCCUAAACGAUGUCAACUAGUUGUUGGUAGAGUAAAAUCUAUGAGUAACGCAGCUAACGCGUGAAGU
RNAcentral lists this ribosomal RNA (821 nucleotides) under Methylotenera sp. Its description in RNAcentral is "bacterial SSU rRNA". It matches the Rfam family "Bacterial small subunit ribosomal RNA", at positions 52 to 865 of the family's 1533-position model. The record is from RNAcentral. Lineage: Bacteria; Pseudomonadati; Pseudomonadota; Betaproteobacteria; Nitrosomonadales; Methylophilaceae.